AGAGUUUGAUCAUGGCUCAGGAUGAACGCUAGCUACAGGCUUAACACAUGCAAGUCGAGGGGCAGCAUGUUGGUUGCUUGCAACCAACGAUGGCGACCGGCGCACGGGUGAGUAACGCGUAUCCAACCUACCCUUGUCCAUCGGAUAACCCGUCGAAAGGCGGCCUAACACGAUAUGCGGUUCACGGCAGGCAUCUAAGGUGAACGAAUGUGAAGGAGAAGGAUGGGGAUGCGUCUGAUUAGCUUGGUUGGCGGGGUAACGGCCCACCAAGGCUACGAUCAGUAGGGGUUCUGGAGAGGAAGGUCCCCCACAUUGGAACUGAGACACGGUCCAAACUCCUACGGGAGGCA
RNAcentral lists this ribosomal RNA (350 nucleotides) under uncultured bacterium. RNAcentral describes it as "bacterial SSU rRNA". It matches the Rfam family "Bacterial small subunit ribosomal RNA", at positions 8 to 350 of the family's 1533-position model. The record is from RNAcentral.